AAUUUCUUCGAACGACAGCUUUGCUUGCAGAGUUGGCGGAUCGGUACUGAGGCUUGCCAUUUGCACUGGCUGCUUCGAAAUACAUCAGCUGGACUGUACAUGCUAGAGAGCAGAAGGAUAUACGUCCCUCUCCCUCCGGAUUUUGAUAAUUAUCAAAACACGGACGUGAUGGAAACUUCUUUUGCUUGGGCGUGAACGCUGGCUUCUUAAAACCGCCCCACUGCUUUUGGCAGAGGGGAUCUAAUUCAA
This 249-nucleotide unclassified non-coding RNA is filed under the name Farysia acheniorum. Its description in RNAcentral is "ITS 2". Lineage: Eukaryota; Fungi; Basidiomycota; Ustilaginomycetes; Ustilaginales; Ustilaginaceae. The record is from RNAcentral.